AACCCCCGCCGUUAGUUGCCAGCGGUUCGGCCGGGCACUCUAACGGGGCUGCCCGCGAAAGCGGGAGGAAGGAGGGGACGACGUCUGGUCAGCAUGGCCCUUACGGCCUGGGCGACACACGUGCUACAAUGCCCACUACAAAGCGAUGCCACCCGGCAACGGGGAGCUAAUCGCAAAAAGGUGGGCCCAGUUCGGAUUGGGGUCUGCAACCCGACCCCAUGAAGCCGGAAUCGCUAGUAAUCGCGGAUCAGCCAUGCCGCGGUGAAUACGUUCCCGGGCCUC
RNAcentral lists this ribosomal RNA (282 nucleotides) under uncultured Thermus sp. Its description in RNAcentral is "partial 16S ribosomal RNA". It matches the Rfam family "Bacterial small subunit ribosomal RNA", at positions 1100 to 1381 of the family's 1533-position model. The record is from RNAcentral. Lineage: Bacteria; Thermotogati; Deinococcota; Deinococci; Thermales; Thermaceae.